This 443-nucleotide ribosomal RNA is filed under the name uncultured bacterium. Its description in RNAcentral is "bacterial SSU rRNA". It matches the Rfam family "Bacterial small subunit ribosomal RNA", at positions 29 to 521 of the family's 1533-position model. The record is from RNAcentral.
AGCGAACGCUGGCGGCAGGCCUAACACAUGCAAGUCGAGCGCCCAGCAAUGGGAGCGGCAGACGGGAUAGUAACACGUGGGAACGUACCUUUCAGUUCGGAACAACCCAGGGAAACUUGGGCUAAUACCGAAUACGUCCGUAAGGAGAAAGAUUUAUCGCUGAAAGAUCGGCCCGCGUCUGAUUAGCUAGUUGGUGGGGUAAUGGCCCACCAAGGCGACGAUCAGUAGCUGGUCGAGAGGAUGAUCAGCAUCACUGGGACUGAGACACGGCCCAGACUCCUACGGGAGGCAGCAGUGGGAAUAUUGGACAAUGGGCGCAAGCCUGAUCCAGCCAUGCCGCGUGGAUGAUGAAGGCCCUAGGGUUGUAAAGUCCUUUCGGCGGGGAAGAUAAUGACGGUACCCGCAGAAGAAGCCCCGACUAACUUCGUGCCAGCAGCCGCAGU